UACAGAGGGUGCGAGCGUUGUCCGGAAUCACUGGGCGUAAAGGGUGCGUAGGCGGCGCGGUAAGUCGGGUGUGAAAUCUCGGGGCUUAACUCCGAAACUGCAUUCGAUACUGCCGUGCUUGAGGACUGGAGAGGAGACUGGAAUUUACGGUGUAGCGGUGAAAUGCGUAGAUAUCGUAAGGAAGACCAGUGGCGAAGGCGGGUCUCUGGACAGUUCCUGACGCUGAGGCACGAAGGCCAGGGGAGCAAACGGG
Molecule: ribosomal RNA, 253 nt
Filed under: uncultured bacterium
Lineage: Bacteria
Description: partial 16S ribosomal RNA
Rfam family: Bacterial small subunit ribosomal RNA
Source: RNAcentral